CGGAGGAUGCCUAGGCGCCAGGAGCCGACGAAGGACGUGGCGAACAACGAAACUGCCUCGGGGAGCUGUAAGCAAGCUUUGAUCCGGGGGUGUCCGAAUGGGGAAACCCAGCUGUGGUAAUUCGCAGUUACUCAUUUCUGAAUACAUAGGAAAUGCAGAGGCAGACCAGGGGAACUGAAACAUCUAAGUACCCUGAGGAAGAGAAAACAAUAGUGAUUCCGUCAGUAGCGGCGAGCGAACGCGGAACAGCCUAAACCAAGGGGCUUGCCUCUUGGGGUUGUGGGACGUCUCACAUGGAGUUACAAAGGAAUAUGGUAGGCGAAGAGGUCUGGAAAGGCCCGCGAUAGAGGUAAAAGCCCUGUAGCCUAAACUGUGUUCUCUCCGAGACGGAUCCCGAGUAGUGCGGGGCACGUGAAACCCCGUAUGAAUCCAGCAGGACCAUCUGCUAAGGCUAAAUACUACCUGGCGACCGAUAGUGAAACAGUACCGUGAGGGAAAGGUGAAAAGCACCCCGGAAGGGGAGUGAAAUAGAACCUGAAACCGUGUGCUUACAAAAAGUCAGAGCCCGAUCUAUGGGUGAUGGCGUGCCUUUUGUAGAAUGAACCGGCGAGUUACGUUUAACAUGCAAGGUUAAGGUGAGAAGCCGGAGCCGCAGCGAAAGCGAGUCUGAAUAGGGCGAUUUAGUAUGUGGACGUAGACCCGAAACCGUGUGAUCUACCCCUGUCCAGGGUGAAGGUGCGGUAACACGCACUGGAGGCCCGAACCCACGCAUGUUGAAAAAUGCGGGGAUGAGGUGGGGGUAGCGGAGAAAUUCCAAUCGAACUCGGAGAUAGCUGGUUCUCCCCGAAAUAGCUUUAGGGCUAGCCUCGGUGAAUGGAGUGGUGGAGGUAGAGCACUGAUUGGGUGCGGGGCCCGCAAGGGUUACCAAGCUCAGUCAAACUCCGAAUGCCAUUAACUUCUUGCCGGGAGUCAGACAGUGAGUGCUAAGAUCCAUUGUCAAAAGGGAAACAGCCCAGACCAUCAGCUAAGGUCCCCAAGUGUGUGUUAAGUGGGAAAGGAUGUGGAGUUGCACAGACAACCAGGAUGUUGGCUUAGAAGCAGCCACCAUUGAAAGAGUGCGUAAUAGCUCACUGGUCGAGUGACUCUGCGCCGAAAAUGUAACGGGGCUAAACACACCACCGAAGCUAUGGCUAGAUGCUUUGCAUCUGGGGUAGGGGAGCGUUGUAUGUAGGUUGAAGGUGUACCGUAAGGAGCGCUGGACAGCAUACAAGUGAGAAUGCCGGUAUGAGUAACGAAAAGAUCAGUGAGAAUCUGAUCCGCCGAAAGCCCAAGGUUUCCUGAGGAAGGCUCGUCCGCUCAGGGUAAGUCGGGACCUAAGGCGAGGCCGAAAGGCGUAGUCGAAGGACAACAGUUUGAAAUUACUGUACCACCGUAAUCCGCUAUGAGCGAUGGGGUGACGCAGGAGGGUAGUGACGCGGACUGAUGGAUGUGUCCGUCUAAGCAGUGAGGCUGAUGUGUAGGCAAAUCCGCACAUCAAUAAGGCUGGGCUGUGAUGGGGAGCGAAAAUUGUAGUAGCGAAGGUCAUGAUCUCACACUGCCAAGAAAAGCCUCUAGCCAGGAGAAGGUGCCCGUACCGCAAACCGACACAGGUAGGCGAGAAGAGAAUUCUAAGGCGCGCGGAAGAACUCUCGUUAAGGAACUCGGCAAAAUGACCUCGUAACUUCGGGAGAAGAGGUGCCUCGGUAGGGUGAAUAGCCCGAGGGGGCCGCAGUGAAAAGGCCCAAGCGACUGUUUAGCAAAAACACAGGUCUGUGCGAAGCCGCAAGGCGAAGUAUACGGGCUGACGCCUGCCCGGUGCUGGAAGGUUAAGGGGAGUGGUUAGGAGCAAUCCGAAGCUGUGAACCGAAGCCCCAGUAAACGGCGGCCGUAACUAUAACGGUCCUAAGGUAGCGAAAUUCCUUGUCAGGUAAAUUCUGACCCGCACGAAUGGCGUAACGACUUGGGCGCUGUCUCAACGAGAGAUCCGGUGAAAUUUUAAUACCUGUGAAGAUGCAGGUUACCCGCGACAAGACGGAAAGACCCCAUGGAGCUUUACUGCAGCUUGAUAUUGAAUUUGGGUACGAUCUGUACAGGAUAGGUGGGAGCCGUAGAGGCAGGAGCGCAAGCUUCUGCGGAGGCGCCGUUGGGAUACCACCCUGAUCGUAUCUAGGUUCUAACCUAGUACCGUAACCCGGUACGGGGACCGUGUCAGGCGGGCAGUUUGACUGGGGCGGUCGCCUCCUAAAGAGUAACGGAGGCGUUCAAAGGUUCCCUCAGAAUGGUUGGAAAUCAUUCGAAGAGUGCAAAGGCAUAAGGGAGCUUGACUGCGAGACCUACAAGUCGAGCAGGGACGAAAGUCGGACUUAGUGAUCCGGUGGUACCGCAUGGAAGGGCCAUCGCUCAACGGAUAAAAGCUACCCUGGGGAUAACAGGCUUAUCUCCCCCAAGAGUCCACAUCGACGGGGAGGUUUGGCACCUCGAUGUCGGCUCAUCGCAUCCUGGGGCUGAAGUAGGUCCCAAGGGUUGGGCUGUUCGCCCAUUAAAGCGGUACGCGAGCUGGGUUCAGAACGUCGUGAGACAGUUCGGUCCCUAUCUGUCGUGGGCGCAGGAAAUUUGAGAGGAGCUGUCCUUAGUACGAGAGGACCGGGAUGGACGUACCGCUGGUGCAUCAGUUGUUCCGCCAGGAGCAUGGCUGAGUAGCUACGUACGGACGGGAUAAGCGCUGAAAGCAUCUAAGCGUGAAGCCCCCCUCAAGAUGAGAUUUCCCAAUUAGUAAGACCCCUUGAAGACGACGAGGUAGAUAGGUUGGAGGUGGAAGUGCAGCAAUGCAUGGAGCUGACCAAUACUAAUCGGUCGAGGGCUUAUCCAAAUU
Molecule: ribosomal RNA, 2911 nt
Filed under: Paenibacillus phytohabitans
Lineage: Bacteria; Bacillati; Bacillota; Bacilli; Caryophanales; Paenibacillaceae
Description: Paenibacillus sp. LMG 31459 partial 23S ribosomal RNA
Rfam family: Bacterial large subunit ribosomal RNA
Source: RNAcentral